ACAACGUUUUAUGAAAUUCAUACCUUCCAUCUGGUAUGAAAUUGACAAUGUAUCUAUGAAUUUGGCAACGACAAGGGUUUAUCCUUCUUUGACAACGACGAGGUCUAGGUUUGUACAGAUGAAGAUGUCGACGACGAGGGUUUAUGAGUGUGUUUGGUUUCAAUGAGUUAAGAAAAUAUGGGUUUUAGUUGAUGAUAUUAGCCCAUGAGAAAACAGCAAGUAGAUGAUAUUGGGCUGGUUUGAAUGAGACCCAUUUGUUUUCAUCAAAAGCACAAAAGGGUAAAAUGAUACUUUACUAUUUGCUGUAUUAGAGGAGGAGCUCUAUUAGAGAGGAGAGAUAAAACUACCUUCUCUGCCUAUUUCUAUAUAAGACCAAUGUUCUAAAAGUGUCUAGUUCUCAAAUUAUUUUACCAAAAACUGCAUAGUCUUCAACUUAUCUCUAUUAUUUAUAUAAGAUCAAUGUUCUAAAAACGAUAUAAAUAGCAUAAGUUUCGUUUUAUUGUAUUUUUUUUUUAAUUUUAACUGUAGAGAAUUAAAUUAUAAAUUUUAGCUUCAUACAUAUCGUAUGAUUUGAAUUAAAUAAACAUUUUAGC
RNAcentral lists this small RNA (593 nucleotides) under Arabidopsis thaliana (thale cress). Its description in RNAcentral is "ATSL151820". Lineage: Eukaryota; Viridiplantae; Streptophyta; Magnoliopsida; Brassicales; Brassicaceae. The record is from RNAcentral.